AAUCAUCAUCAUUUUUAGAAAGGUUACGAUCAAACAUGAGAGGGUCCAAAUAACAAUAUCAUAUGCUUCUUAAGUUCACAAAGAAAAGGAGAAGACAUGAACAUUUGCCAAAGCAAACAAAUCAAGCAUACUUUUUCAUAUUUUUGUAGAUACAUAGAAGAGCAGUAGUUGUAGAAAUUUAUAGAAGCAAGCAAGUUUCUUACCAGGAGGCAAUAGCUGCCAGCUCAACAAAGACCUUACAUGACCUAUAGCUACUACAUUUCUUGUGACUAAUAAUGUGAAAGCAAUAUUUCGUAAUCGAGAAAAGCUUCUGAAAUUACUGGAAUUCAAUAUUCAGAUACAAUUACUCAUGUCAUUUAAUGAGUUCUAAAUAAAAAAAGUAUACUAGUGAAUUUAUGUAGGAAUGAACUACAUGCAGCAUCCAAAGCAGAGCAUGGCAACCUUAGUGUGGAGGAACAUCUCUACUUUGCUAACAUCCACUCAGUUGAAAUUAAACAAGCACAGUAACAUGGAUACACAUGAAUUUGCUAUUUCUAGUUAAAGUAGAUUGCGACAUUAUUAUCUCUUGCUAAUUUGUAACAUUUUAUAGUUUUCCCCCAAUUUUUACUGGAGCGCUAAUUUGUACAGUGAACAUUGUGCAAUUCAGCAACCUGCUCUCCAUUUUACAUGGUUCACUUAGUAGUAA
Molecule: long non-coding RNA, 685 nt
Filed under: Phoenix dactylifera (date palm)
Lineage: Eukaryota; Viridiplantae; Streptophyta; Magnoliopsida; Arecales; Arecaceae
Description: long non-coding RNA (PDAC_LNC019460)
Source: RNAcentral